AGGAAGUGAAGGUCAGAUAGCGGGUCGGGUUUUUUUUGCUCCUUUCUUGUGUAAUUUGGCUGCGAGGUGCCCCUUGCUGUGUCCUCACAGUCUUGGGAGUGACUGUCGAGUUUCUAUUCCAGCAGCGGCGUCUCCACCCGGAGCAAUUCCGGACGUCGCCGUUCUGGGUCGGAUUGACUUCGAAGCCUCAUGUUGCCUGAGCAAGAAGCCCAGCAGGGGAGGAGGAGGAAGAGGAAGGAAGGCCAGGAGUCAGGAAUGGCUGUUUCUCAGGACGGCCCUGUUCUGACUGGCCGCAUCUCAAGGACUCAGGAGGUAAGCAUAUGUGCCUUAGUGGCCACUAUGUGAGGCUACGCAUUUAGUGAAUUUAGUCAUCAUCGCAUUAAAAGCAAAACCUAUAGAGCAGUCUGUCCCUUGAUCUCAGGACAUGCACAAAAAAAAAAAGAAAAAAGUAACGGCAAAGAGUUCUUCGGCAUUUACUCUGUGCCAUGAGACGGGCGAGUUUCUUAGACAUGAACUUUCCCGAGGUGGGCCCUCUGCCUGGUGCCUGUCUGUCCCUCUCCCGCCACUUGCCAGGCGCCAGCCCCCGUGAGCCCCUGGCUCACCUUCAUCCCAAUCAGGGUCGAGUAAUAGGUGCCCCAGCAGGGGCAGGGGAGGUGCAGGUCAUCUGCUCUCGGAAGCAGCCCAGGUGGAUAAGAAUCCUUUGGGGCCCGUCCUUGGGCCUGAGCAGCCACCAGGGCACCAACUCUUGCCUGGAUUUCUCUCCUUCCCACUUCUCCUCCGGGUCAUCCUCUGACGCCUCCUCUGAUUCCUUCCCCACCUCCUCCCUCUCCUCGCACUGGUGCUCAGUCAGAGGUGCCACCAUCCCGAACUGGCCCUUGCACGCUCAGAUUUGCUGGGUCCCCUGCUGUCGCCCUCAGAAGACUUACAUCAACUUAAUCCUUACUCUUCUUCUUUUUUCCUUUUGUUAAAUCUUUUUAGGCCUGCAGCAGAGGCAUAUGGAAGUUCCCAGGCUAGGGGCCAAUUGGAGCUGCAAUUGCCAGUCCACAGCCACAGCAACACCAGAUGCAAGCCAUGUGCGGGACCUACACUGCAGCUCAUGGCAAUGCCAGAUCCCUAACCCACGGCAUGGGGCCGGGGAUUGGACCUGCGGCCUUAUGGGCACUAGUCGGAUUCAUUAGCUUUGAGCCACAACUGGAACUCCUCUCUUCUUAUUUUGUGUUAAAAUAAAGUACCUCUUCCCAGCCCCUCGGAGAAAUGUGUUUUCAUUUUAGGAACAGGUGACCUUCGAGGACGACGUGGCCAUCAGUUUCACUCGGGAGGAGUGGGACUGCCUGGACCCUGCUCAGAGGGCCUUGUACAAGGACGUGAUGCUAGAGACCUACAGGAACCUCAUCGCCGUGGGUGAGGAUCACUUCUUGUUUUUCGGUUUUGUUUUUGUUUUUUAAGUUUAAAAAUUUUUUUGUCUUUUUGCCUUUUCUUGAGCUGCUCCCGUGGCGUAUGGAGGUUCCCAGGCUAGAGGUCUAAUCGGAGCUAUAGCUACCGGCCUAUGCCAGAACCACAGCAACUUGGGAUCCGAGCCGCGUCUGUGACCCACACCACAGCUCACGGCAUCGCCGGAUCCUUAACCCACUGAGCGAGGCCAGGGAUUGAACCCUCAACCUCAUGGUUCCUAGUCGGAUUCGUUAACCACUGCGCCACAACAGGAACUCCAAGGAUAACUUUUGUUUUUGUUUUUGUUUUUUAGGGCCACAAACACAGCAUAUGGAAGUUUCCAGGCUAGGAGUCUAAUCUGAUCUACAUUUGCCGGCCUGCACCACAGCCACAGCAACUCGGGAUCUGAGCUGCGACUGUGACCUACACUAUAGCUCACAGUACUGCCCCAUCCUUAACCCACUGAGCGAGGCCAGCGAUGGAACCUAUAACCUCAUGGUUCCUAUUUGGAUUUGUUUAUGCUGUGCAACAAUGGGAACCCCAAGGAUAACUACUUUUUUUAAGAGGUGAAGUCUGCCCUUGCACUUUCCCCUGUGUGGCUCUUGGGAGUCCUUUUUUUUUCCAUGGCUGGGCCCUUGGUAUGUGGAAAUUUCCUGGCUGGGGAUUUAGUCCAAGGCACAGCUGAAAC
This 2119-nucleotide long non-coding RNA is filed under the name Sus scrofa (pig). Its description in RNAcentral is "lncRNA (ENSSSCG00060044517.1)". Lineage: Eukaryota; Metazoa; Chordata; Mammalia; Artiodactyla; Suidae. The record is from RNAcentral.